AGUCGAACGUGAAAGCACUUCGGUGUGAGUAGAGUGGCGGACGGGUGAGUAACGCGUGGGAAUCUACCCAGUAGUGGGGGACAACUACCGGAAACGGUAGCUAAUACCGCAUACGCCCUAUGGGGGAAAGGCUUCGGCCGCUAUUGGAUGAGCCCGCGUCAGAUUAGCUAGUUGGUAGGGUAAAGGCCUACCAAGGCAACGAUCUGUAGCUGGUCUGAGAGGACGAACAGCCACACUGGGACUGAGACACGGCCCAGACUCCUACGGGAGGCAGCAGUGGGGAAUAUUGGACAAUGGGCGAAAGCCUGAUCCAGCAAUGCCGCGUGUGUGAAGAAGGCCUGCGGGUUGUAAAGCACUUUCAGUUGGGAAGAUGAUGACGUUACCAACAGAAGAAGCACCGGCUAAAUCCGUGCCAGCAGCCGCGGUAAUACGGAUGGUGCGAGCGUUAAUCGGAAUUACUGGGCGUAAAGCGCGCGUAGGCGGCUAAGUCAGUCAGAAGUGAAAGCCCCGGGCUCAACCUGGGAAUUGCUUUUGAUACUGCUUAGCUAGAGUUUGGUAGAGGAUAGUGGAAUUCCAGGUGUAGCGGUGAAAUGCGUAGAUAUCUGGAGGAACAUCAGUGGCGAAGGCGACUGUCUGGACCAAAACUGACGCUGAGGUGCGAAAGCGUGGGUAGCAAACAGGAUUAGAUACCCUGGUAGUCCACGCCGUAAACGAUGUCAACUAGCCGUCGGGUCUAUUUACAGACUUGGUGGCGCAGCUAACGCGAUAAGUUGACCGCCUGGGGGAGUACGGCCGCAAGGUUAAAACUCAAAGGAAUUGACGGGGGCCCGCACAAGCGGUG
This 841-nucleotide ribosomal RNA is filed under the name uncultured Gammaproteobacteria bacterium. Its description in RNAcentral is "bacterial SSU rRNA". It matches the Rfam family "Bacterial small subunit ribosomal RNA", at positions 60 to 934 of the family's 1533-position model. The record is from RNAcentral. Lineage: Bacteria; Pseudomonadati; Pseudomonadota; Gammaproteobacteria.